Asterias rubens (European starfish) is the source of this 365-nucleotide long non-coding RNA. RefSeq lists it as uncharacterized. NCBI's taxonomy places the organism in Eukaryota, Metazoa, Echinodermata, Asteroidea, Forcipulatida, Asteriidae. The record is from RefSeq and is a predicted model, not a curated record. The transcript has 3 exons.
UUCGGGUGGGGCAGGCAGCAUACGUGUGUAGAGGGCUGAGUGAGUUCGGCACUUGGUUGAUGCGAGUAGUUUGUAUCUAUGCACCGCUAGCUGCAUGCUUUCACCAAAUCAGAAUUUGCCUACUUACCCGUUGGAAGUGUGCAUACUAGCAGAUACAGGAACAAACCGAAGCAAAACUGUCUCAUUAUGCUUUCAAUAAUUGUGAGUAAAGAUUCAUCACAGCAACAAUAGAUCGAGCAAGAUGCAAGCUUCUCCAAUGAUUUGCCUACUUACCCGUUGGAAGUGUGCAUACUAGCAGAUACAGGAACAAACCGAAGCAAAACUGUCUCAUUAUGCUUUCAAUAAUUGUGAGUAAAGAUUCAUCA